GAGUGUAUAGCUCAAUUGACAGAGCUCAUGCUUAGCAUCCAUGAGGUUGUGGGUUCAAUCCCCAGUACCCCCA
RNAcentral lists this transfer RNA (73 nucleotides) under Camelus bactrianus (Bactrian camel). It matches the Rfam family "tRNA". From Rfam's summary of the family: Transfer RNA (tRNA) molecules are approximately 80 nucleotides in length. Their secondary structure includes four short double-helical elements and three loops (D, anti-codon, and T loops). Lineage: Eukaryota; Metazoa; Chordata; Mammalia; Artiodactyla; Camelidae. The record is from Rfam by way of RNAcentral. RNAcentral also lists the same sequence under 1 other name.